AAUUUUAUACAUCAAAAUAAACAGAUUGCGAUGAGAAAGGUUGGAUGUAAUCGAU
This 55-nucleotide non-coding RNA is filed under the name Trypanosoma lewisi. The record is from RNAcentral. Lineage: Eukaryota; Euglenozoa; Kinetoplastea; Trypanosomatida; Trypanosomatidae.